RNAcentral lists this ribosomal RNA (465 nucleotides) under uncultured bacterium. Its description in RNAcentral is "partial 16S ribosomal RNA". It matches the Rfam family "Bacterial small subunit ribosomal RNA", at positions 28 to 507 of the family's 1533-position model. The record is from RNAcentral.
GACGAACGCUGGCGGCGUGCUUAACACAUGCAAGUCGAACGGAAAGGCCCUGCUUGCAGGGUACUCGAGUGGCGAACGGGUGAGUAACACGUGGGUGAUCUGCCCUGCGCUUCGGGUUAAGCCUGGGAAACUGGGUCUAUUACCGGUUAGUAGCCAUGGUUAGUGUGAUGGUUGGAAAGUUUUUUCGGUGUAGGAUGAGCUCGCGGCCUAUCAGCUUGUUGGUGGGGUAAUGGCCUACCAAGGCGGCGACGGGUAGCCGGCCUGAGAGGGUGGACGGCCAUACUGGGACCGAGAUACGGCAGAGGCGCCGAAGGGUGGACGAAGGGCGAAAGACUGCACCAGGCGCGCAGGGCUGAUGAAGAGACGCCGCGUGUGGGAUGGCGGCCUUAGGGUGGUAGAAUCCUAUCGAUAGGGAAGAAGCCUGUUGUGACGGUACCUAGAGAAGAAGCACCGGCUAACUACGUG